UUCGUAUUCUACCUUGAGAAUGCCCAAUCUCUCAUUGUCUCAGAAGCUAAGCAGGGAUUGGCCUGGUUCGUGCUUGGAUGGGAGACUGCUGAGAAUAUCAGAUGCCAGAGU
This is a ribosomal RNA of Periophthalmus magnuspinnatus, 111 nucleotides long. Lineage: Eukaryota; Metazoa; Chordata; Actinopteri; Gobiiformes; Gobiidae. The record is from Ensembl.